RNAcentral lists this non-coding RNA (749 nucleotides) under Clavinema parasiluri. Lineage: Eukaryota; Metazoa; Nematoda; Chromadorea; Rhabditida; Philometridae. The record is from RNAcentral.
GGUGAUAUUGUGAGUUUUUUGUUGUUAUCACUUGGAACGGUUUGAUACUGGCCGUUGGUUAUGUAAAAGAUUUAUAUCUAAUAUUGAAUUGAUGUGAUGGGCAAUGAUAUUUUACCAUGUUUUUUAAUUAAAUGUAUAAGACAGGUUCCAGAAUAAUCGGUUAGGCUUGUCAUUUUUAUAAUCUAGUUGAGAAGGUUAAAGAAAUUUAGGAUGUUUUUUGAAAAUUUAAGAGUGGAAUGUAAGAUUUUUGUUUAGUUAUUUUUUUUUAAUUUAAGUACUGGUAAAUAAAUUGGGUUAGACACCAAGUAGUCAGAGGUAAAUAGAUCAGGAGUAGAGUGAAGUGGAAACUGAAAGUACUUUGGCAGGCGUUUAAUUUUUCUUCGGGAGCUGGUUAGUAAUCGAAAUCCCUCGUUGGUAGCUAGUACUAUGGGCACAUGUAUGAUCGUUUUUAUUUAUUUUAAGAGUGAAUAGUAGAUUUUAUUAGAAUUGAUAGCAGAUAUAUACUUGGUGAAUGUGCUAGAUUUUCUGGGUCACAAUGUGUUAGUUUUAGUUGGAAGAAGAUUUAACAAUCUUUAGAAAUUGUAGAAGAAAGUAAAGUUUAUUUUUAUAGUUAAUUUGAAUUUUAUUUAAAUGCGGUACAAAUUAUCCAUCAAUUGUCCAAAGGAGAGUAAGUUGUAGUAGAGUAAGGCUAGAGGAAUCUGGUCUUAGAUAUCCUCUAAUUUCAACUAACAGAGAUCUAUAGGAGGGGG